GAUGAACGCUAGCGGCAGGCUUAAUACAUGCAAGUCGUGGGGCAGCGCAGUGUAGCAAUACAUGGGCGGCGACCGGCAAACGGGUGCGGAACACGUACACAACCUUCCUUCAAAUGGGGAAUAGCCCAGGGAAACUUGGAUUAAUACCCCGUAACAUUAUGAAGUGGCAUCACUUUAUAAUUAUAGCUCCGGCGUUUGGAGAUGGGUGUGCGGCUGAUUAGGUAGUUGGCGGGGUAACGGCCCACCAAGCCUUCGAUCAGUAACUGGUGUGAGAGCACGACCAGUCACACGGGCACUGAGACACGGGCCCGACUCCUACGGGAGGCAGCAGUAAGGAAUAUUGGGCAAUGGACGCAAGUCUGACCCAGCCAUGCCGCGUGGAGGAUGAAGGU
This 392-nucleotide ribosomal RNA is filed under the name uncultured bacterium. RNAcentral describes it as "bacterial SSU rRNA". It matches the Rfam family "Bacterial small subunit ribosomal RNA", at positions 28 to 415 of the family's 1533-position model. The record is from RNAcentral.